AAGCGAACCUGCGAAGGCAAGCGGAUCUCUUAAAGCCGUUCUCAGUUCGGACUGUAGGCUGCAACUCGCCUACAUGAAGUCGGAAUCGCUAGUAAUCGCGGAUCAGCAUGCCGCGGUGAAUACGUUCCCGGGCCUUGUACACAUCGCCCGUCACACCAUGAGAGUUUGUAACACCCAAAGCCGGUGGGGUAACCUUUUGGAGCCAGCCGUCUAAGGUGGGACAGAUGAUUGGGGUGAAGUCGUAACAAGGUAAC
Molecule: ribosomal RNA, 254 nt
Filed under: uncultured bacterium
Lineage: Bacteria
Description: partial 16S ribosomal RNA
Rfam family: Bacterial small subunit ribosomal RNA
Source: RNAcentral